GAUGAAGAACGCAGCGAAAUGCGAUAAUUAAUGUGAAUUGCAGAAUUCCGUGAAUCAUCGAGUCUUUGAACGCACAUUGCGCCUCAUGGCAUUCCGUGAGGCAUGCCCAUCUCAGCGUUAGAAAAUAUUCUCAAAUUUUAGUUUUGUGCUAAAAUUUGGAUCAUGUCAAAGAAGCUAUUACUAUUAUUGUGAUCGCUCUUUGGAAAUUGAUAGGUCUUUGAGUUGCUACUCAUAGAACGUGAUGAAUCUUUCUUCGUUCUAUUGUAAUUCACUCUGGUAGUCCUAAAACUUGUAUGCCUGUGGCAUAUAUUGUAAUUUGACCUGAGAUUGGGUAGGGAUACCCGCUGAACUUAAGCAUAUCAAUAAGCGGAGGA
RNAcentral lists this unclassified non-coding RNA (374 nucleotides) under soil metagenome. RNAcentral's name for it is "partial contains internal transcribed spacer 2 and large subunit ribosomal RNA". The stretch from base 1 to 120 matches the Rfam family "5.8S ribosomal RNA", at positions 35 to 154 of the family's 154-position model. The record is from RNAcentral.